This 301-nucleotide ribosomal RNA is filed under the name uncultured bacterium. Its description in RNAcentral is "partial 16S ribosomal RNA". It matches the Rfam family "Bacterial small subunit ribosomal RNA", at positions 509 to 807 of the family's 1533-position model. The record is from RNAcentral.
CAGCAGCCACGGUAAAACGUAGGGUGCAAGCGUUAAUCGGAAUUACUGGGCGUAAAGCGUGCGCAGGCGGUUAUAUAAGACAGAUGUGAAAUCCCCGGGCUCAACCUGGGAACUGCAUUUGUGACUGUAUAGCUAGAGUACGGCAGAGGGGGAUGGAAUUCCGCGUGUAGCAGUGAAAUGCGUAGAUAUGCGGAGGAACACCGAUGGCGAAGGCAAUCCCCUGGGCCUGUACUGACGCUCAUGCACGAAAGCGUGGGGAGCAAACAGGAUUAGAUACCCCCGUAGUCCCUGUCUCUUAUAC